CAGUAGCCGCGGUAAUACGAAGGGUGCAAGCGUUACUCGGAAUUACUGGGCGUAAAGCGUGCGUAGGUGGUGGUUUAAGUCCGUUGUGAAAGCCCUGGGCUCAACCUGGGAAUUGCAGUGGAUACUGGGUCACUAGAGUGUGGUAGAGGAUAGUGGAAUUUCCGGUGUAGCAGUGAAAUGCGUAGAGAUCGGAAGGAACACCAACGGCGAAAGCACUCUGCUGGGCCGACACUGACACUGAGAGACGAAAGCUAGGGGAGCAAAUGGGAUUAGAUACCCCCGUAGUCCCUGUCUCUUAUAC
This 301-nucleotide ribosomal RNA is filed under the name uncultured bacterium. RNAcentral's name for it is "partial 16S ribosomal RNA". It matches the Rfam family "Bacterial small subunit ribosomal RNA", at positions 509 to 807 of the family's 1533-position model. The record is from RNAcentral.